RNAcentral lists this transfer RNA (72 nucleotides) under Candidatus Chazhemtobacterium aquaticus. RNAcentral describes it as "tRNA-Arg". It matches the Rfam family "tRNA". From Rfam's summary of the family: Transfer RNA (tRNA) molecules are approximately 80 nucleotides in length. Their secondary structure includes four short double-helical elements and three loops (D, anti-codon, and T loops). Lineage: Bacteria; Candidatus Chazhemtobacteraceae. The record is from RNAcentral.
GCCCUCAUAGUUUAAUGGAUAAAACAACGGUUUCCGGAACCGUAGCUGGAGGUUCGAUUCCUCCUGGGGGCA